ACCUCGAUGUUGGUUCUUCACCGAUUGGGAUCCUAGUGUGUUCCAAGGGUUGGAUUGUUUGCCCACUAAAGUGGUAUGUGGGCUAGGUUCAAAACGUUGUGAGACAGUUU
This is a non-coding RNA of Glycine max (soybean), 110 nucleotides long. Lineage: Eukaryota; Viridiplantae; Streptophyta; Magnoliopsida; Fabales; Fabaceae. The record is from Rfam.